RNAcentral lists this ribosomal RNA (2033 nucleotides) under bioreactor sludge metagenome. Its description in RNAcentral is "bacterial LSU rRNA". It matches the Rfam family "Bacterial large subunit ribosomal RNA", at positions 3 to 1985 of the family's 2925-position model. The record is from RNAcentral.
UCAAGCUAUUAAGGGCAUUCGGUGGAUGCCUUGGCACCAAGAGGCGAUGAAGGACGUGGCAAAACUGCGAUAAUCCACGGGGAGCCGUAAGCAGGCAUCGAUCCGUGGGUCUCCGAAUCGGGAAACCGACGCCGAGUCAUGUCGGCGUGGCCUCCAGCUGAAUACAUAGGCCGGAGGUAGCGAACGAGGGGAACUGAAACAUCUCAGUACCCUCAGGAAAAGAAAUCAAAUCAGAGACUCCGCUAGUAGUGGCGAGCGAAAGCGGACUAGGCCAAACCAUCUGAAUUUUCAGGUGGGGUUGUAGGGCCAGCGACGUGGACCUGCAGAGGUAGCUGAACGACCUGGGAAGGUCGGCCAAAGAGGGUGAUAGCCCCGUAAACGAAACCCGAGCAGGCCUAGCUGGUACCCUGAGUACAACGGGACACGAGAAACCCUGUUGGAAUCCGGGAGGACCAUCUCCCAAGCCUAAGUACUACUUGGUGACCGAUAGUGAACCAGUACCGUGAGGGAAAGGUGAAAAGAACCCCCGCGAGGGGAGUGAAAAGACUCUGAAACCGAAUGUCUACAAGCCGUUGAAGCACUAUGGCAGCAAUGCAACGUGCGACAGCGUGCCUUUUGCAUAAUGAGCCUGCGAGUUACAGUGUCCAGCAAGGUUAAGCCGUUAGGCGUAGCCGAAGCGAAAGCGAGUCUGAACAGGGCGACAAGUUGGAUGCCGUAGACCCGAAACCCGGUGAUCUAUCCUUGGCCAGGCUGAAGAGCGGGUAACACCGCUUGGAGGGCCGAACUCACUAUAGUUGAAAAUAUAGGGGAUGAGCUGAGGAUCGGAGUGAAAGGCUAAUCAAACUGGGUUAUAGCUGGUUCUCGCCGAAACAUAUUUAGGUAUGGGGUCAUAGGCUAUGCGUCGGAGGUAAAGCACUGGAUGGGCUAGGGGUCCUACCAGAUUACCAAACCCAACCAAACUCUGAAUGCCGACGACAUUGACCAUGGCACACAGGCUGCGAGAGCUAAGUUCCGUAGCCAAAAGGGAAAGAGCCCAGACCGCCAGCUAAGGUCCCCAAAUUUGCACUAAGUGGAGAAGGAUGUGGGGGCACACAGACAGCCAGGAGGUUGGCUUAGAAGCAGCCAUCCUUUAAAGAAAGCGUAAUAGCUCACUGGUCAAGUGAACCUGCGCCGAAAAUGUAACGGGGCUAAAGUGCAAUACCGAAGCUGCGGAUUGGAGUCAUGACUGCGGUCAUGGCCCAGUGGUAGGCGAGCAUUCCAAGGGCUGCGAAGGCCGACGGGAACGACGGCUGGAGCGCUUGGAAGAGCUUAUGCAGGCUUGAGUAGCGAUAAAACAGGUGAAAAACCUGUUCGCCGUAAGCCCAAGGUUUCCUGGGUCAAGUUCAUCUUCCCAGGGUUAGUCGGUCCCUAAGGCGAGGCCGAAAGGCGUAGCUGAUGGGAAGCAGGUUAAUAUUCCUGCACCGCCUUGGACAGUUUCCACAGGGGGGACGGAGAAACGCAGCCGAGCCGGAUACUGGAUACCGGUUCAAGCCCGUAGGGAGACUCGAUAGGAGGCCUAGUGCCACAAACGUCGAGUCAAUCCCGAGAGGUGAUGAGGAGGACGCUUGCGUCCACAAACUCGGUGAUCGUCCGCUUCCAAGAAAAGCCUCGGUGGAGUCAACUGCUAGGGCGACCGUACCGCAAACCGACACAGGUGGGCGGGGAGAAGAUCCCAAGGCGCUUGAGAGAACCCUGCCUAAGGAACUCGGCAAAAUGACACCGUAACUUCGGGAGAAGGUGUGCCCUCAUUACGUGAACCGCGAACGCGGGGAGCGGAAGGGGGUUGCAGAGAAUCGGGGGUAGCGACUGUUUACCAAAAACACAGCGCUCUGCGAAGUCGCAAGACGACGUAUAGGGCGUGACGCCUGCCCGGUGCUGGAAGGUUAAGAGGAGGAGUCAGCCGCAAGGCGAAGCUCCGAAUCGAAGCCCCAGUAAACGGCGGCCGUAACUAUAACGGUCCUAAGGUAGCGAAAUUCCUUGUCGGGUAAGUUCCG